This 655-nucleotide ribosomal RNA is filed under the name uncultured bacterium. Its description in RNAcentral is "bacterial SSU rRNA". It matches the Rfam family "Bacterial small subunit ribosomal RNA", at positions 85 to 756 of the family's 1533-position model. The record is from RNAcentral.
GGUGAGGACAGUGGCGGACGGGUGAGUAACGCGUGAGGAACCUGCCUUUCAGAGGGGGACAACAGUUGGAAACGACUGCUAAUACCGCAUGACACAUAGAGAUCGCAUGGUUUUUAUGUCAAAGAUUUAUCGCUGAAAGAUGGCCUCGCGUCUGAUUAGCUAGUUGGUGAGGUAACGGCCCACCAAGGCGACGAUCAGUAGCCGGACUGAGAGGUUGACCGGCCACAUUGGGACUGAGAUACGGCCCAGACUCCUACGGGAGGCAGCAGUGGGGAAUAUUGGGCAAUGGGCGCAAGCCUGACCCAGCAACGCCGCGUGAAGGAAGAAGGCUUUCGGGUUGUAAACUUCUUUUGUCGGGGACGAGUAGAAGACGGUACCUGGCGAAUAAGCCACGGCUAACUACGUGCCAGCAGCCGCGGUAAUACGUAGGUGGCAAGCGUUGUCCGGAUUUACUGGGUGUAAAGGGCGUGUAGCCGGGAAGGCAAGUCAGAUGUGAAAUCCACGGGCUUAACUCGUGAACUGCAUUUGAAACUACUUUUCUUGAGUAUCGGAGAGGCAAUCGGAAUUCCUAGUGUAGCGGUGAAAUGCGUAGAUAUUAGGAGGAACACCAGUGGCGAAGGCGGAUUGCUGGACGACAACUGACGGUGAGGCGCGA